GUGUUGUAUGAAAGGAGAAAAGGUUAGCACUAUUCUCAAUAAGGAUGGAAGAUGUCCUAAUGGCCUUUACAACACAUAUAUGGUUAAGGCAUUGCUGCCUACUUUGUGACACCUGACCAUGUUUUCUG
Molecule: non-coding RNA, 128 nt
Filed under: Phascolarctos cinereus (koala)
Lineage: Eukaryota; Metazoa; Chordata; Mammalia; Diprotodontia; Phascolarctidae
Source: RNAcentral